Molecule: ribosomal RNA, 498 nt
Filed under: uncultured bacterium
Lineage: Bacteria
Description: partial 16S ribosomal RNA
Rfam family: Bacterial small subunit ribosomal RNA
Source: RNAcentral
AUUGAACGCUGGCGGCAGGCUUAACACAUGCAAGUCGAACGGUAACAGGCCGCAAGGUGCUGACGAGUGGCGAACGGGUGAGUAAUGCAUCGGAACGUGCCCAGUCGUGGGGGAUAACGCAGCGAAAGCUGUGCUAAUACCGCAUACGAUCUAUGGAUGAAAGCGGGGGACCGUAAGGCCUCGCGCGAUUGGAGCGGCCGAUGUCAGAUUAGCUAGUUGGUGGGGUAAAGGCCCACCAAGGCGACGAUCUGUAGCUGGUCUGAGAGGACGACCAGCCACACUGGGACGGAGAAACGGCCCAGACUCCUACGGGAGUCAGAAGUGGGGAAUUUUGGACAAUGGGCGCAAGCCUGAUCCAGCAAUGCCGCGUGCAGGAAGAAGGCCUUCGGGUUGUAAACUGCUUUUGUACGGAACGAAACGGCCUGGGUUAAUACCCUGGGCUAAUGACGGUACCGUAAGAAUAAGCACCGGCUAACUACGUGCCAGCCGCCGCCGUAA